RNAcentral lists this long non-coding RNA (206 nucleotides) under Lathyrus oleraceus (garden pea). RNAcentral's name for it is "Pisum sativum (pea) long non-coding RNA (PSAT_LNC007885)". The record is from RNAcentral. Lineage: Eukaryota; Viridiplantae; Streptophyta; Magnoliopsida; Fabales; Fabaceae.
GCACGAGAAAUCCCGCCAAUAUCAGGUUCUUCCUUAGUAGCAUAGAAAGGAACCUGAUCCCUGAUUUGGAUACCCAAAAUAUCAGCAUAAUCCUCCAUCAUAGGCCCUAGCACGUAAUCUGGGAAGACAAAACACCUCAACUCGGGAUCAUAGAACUGAAGAAGAGUAUGAAUGGCGCUCCUGUCUCUGUCCAUGAGCCUGAAAAC